Molecule: ribosomal RNA, 511 nt
Filed under: Lepidostoma basale
Lineage: Eukaryota; Metazoa; Arthropoda; Insecta; Trichoptera; Lepidostomatidae
Description: SSU rRNA
Rfam family: Eukaryotic small subunit ribosomal RNA
Source: RNAcentral
AAGCUCGUAGUUGAAAUUGUGUCCUGCGGUGUCGGUCUACCGAAUGCGGUACGACAGGCACGUCUGCGGGGCUUCUCGCCGGUGCGUCCACCGCCGGCGUGUGUCGGUCUCUGUAACCCAGUAGGCCGCGCACCGAGGCGGGCCGUCGCGGCUGUUUACUUUGAACAAAUUAGAGUGCUCAAAGCGGGCUAACACUUGCCUGAAUAUUGUACGCAUGGAAUAAUAGAAUAGGACCUCGGUUCUGUUUUGUUGGCUUUCUGAUACCAGAGGUAAUGAUUAAUAGGGACAACUGGGGGCAUUCGUAUUGCGACGUUAGAGGUGAAAUUCUUGGAUCGUCGCAAGACGGACUAAAGCGAAAGCAUUUGCCAAAGGUGUUUUCAUUAAUCAAGAACGAAAGUUAGAGGUUCGAAGGCGAUUAGAUACCGCUGUAGUUCUAACCAUAAAUGAUGCCAGCCAGCGAUCCGCCGAAGUUUCAUAAUUUUAACCCGGUGGGCAGCUCCCGGGAAACCAA